RNAcentral lists this long non-coding RNA (637 nucleotides) under Helianthus annuus (common sunflower). Lineage: Eukaryota; Viridiplantae; Streptophyta; Magnoliopsida; Asterales; Asteraceae. The record is from RNAcentral.
AUGAGGCUUAUUAAACAUGUAGGAGAUUUGCAAUGUCCUUUGAGCUAUAGGGUUGUUCUGGUUAUUCUUGUAUAUAAUUUGGAUACUAUUAUGCAUUUAUGCUCAUUAAUCCGCAUGACUUAAAUAUUUUGUUUGAUCCCCGAGAUAUUUUCAUUUCGAAUGUGCUGUGUUUAGAGUUGUAAAAUUACCAAUUUUGUUAUAGACCUAUUCAUGCAUCUUUUGGAGUCACUUUUUCGAAUGUGCAUAGGCUAGCCGUAGCGGGCUAUUAACAAAAAGUGUGAUGCUGAUGAUAUGGCAUUGUUUGUGUUGUCCUGCAUCUUUUCUUGCUUCCGGGUCUGCCGGUUACACAAUGACUGCUGAUGACGCUAUGAAGGUGAUACUGAUAUUAGUGCGGCUGCUGUUUGCUUAUUAUAUCUUCUUAGUUUUGUGUUUCCGUCUGAUGAAAAUUCUGACCCAUGAACUGGCUUUGAAUUGGUAAAUUGGUUUCUUCUGUUCUUGUUCAUCUCUCAAAAGCUGACUCAGUCCGUACUUACGGAUUUUGGUGCUGAUGAUAGCUCGCUAGAUUUUAUUAUCAAUUUACUUUAACGGGUCUUGCAUGGCUAUUGUUUACAAGUUUUUUUUGCUAUUGUUGGGUCAU